GGGGAGAACACAACUUGUUUGAACUCGACAGGCCAGAGACUGAGUGAAGGGGAAGAUGACUGAACACACAGCACCGUCUGUUUCUGUUGUACAGUAAACUGUGAUAUGUUGUCAGGUGUACAAGUUGGCUGCAGCAAAGGGAGAGGGCCAGUCCUGGACUUUGAAACGAGGGCAUAGAACCUUAUAAAGAGGUCUUCCACCGACCGCCAAAACAUCUAUUCUAAGAACAAUGGAAACCUGACGUAUCCAUUUACAACCGAAGUUAUCAGGAGCCGCCGAUAGAGCUACAACCAUGAAAGACAUUGUGACUUCUGGGGAAGUAACCAGAGAUUCUCUGAUGAACUGACUCUCCAGCAGACGGACCGACAAUUCCAACAGAGAAGACAACAAUGAUGUCACGACUCCUACCGAAGGUGGCUCCCCUUCCUGUUCGGGUGGCGGUCGUCGUCACCGGCCUACUAGCUGCCUCUAACCUUUUUCCCCCUUGUCUGUUUAUUAGUUACACCUUUGUUUAGUUAGGUUGAUUGGUUGGGCUUUAUUAUCCAGCCGGCCCGCCUGCUGAGUGUGCAGGAUUGUUUGCAAUGUACUGUUGUGCACGACUGUAUGUCACGGUUGUCCGUGUAUGUGUGUUUUGCUCUACUGUUUAGUUCCCCGUGUUUUGAGGCAUUUGUUUGGGUUGGCGUCGUUUUCACCGGUGUGGUGGAAUAAAAGUAUCGCUACCCUGAACUUUCUGUUUCCUGCGCCUGACUCUUUCCUCCACUACACCCCGGGCAUUACAAACGACAUAUGGGCGUAAAUAUGUUGAUUGCAAUUAUUCCCGAAUGAUUGAAAGUUCAUGUGCAAAAGAUUGGCAUUUCAAUGAAUAUAAUUAUCUACCAUGUGUGUAGUGAUCCAUUUUGCCUUUCCCGCUCCUUUAUCGGUCCACACCCCCUUUUCUUUGUAGACCAAGCAGUCAUAUCGGUUUAGUCCACUAGGGGAUCUUCACAAUCAUUGUUAGUAACCAAUAUCUACUGUCUGUUUGGUAUGCAUUUCUUUGAUUAUUUAGUUAGGAAAUAAAUGAUUAAGCCAA
This is a long non-coding RNA of Oncorhynchus masou masou (cherry salmon), 1069 nucleotides long. RefSeq lists it as uncharacterized. Lineage: Eukaryota; Metazoa; Chordata; Actinopteri; Salmoniformes; Salmonidae. The transcript is spliced from 2 exons. The record is from RefSeq and is a predicted model, not a curated record.